AUACGGAUGGUGCGAGCGUUGUUCGGAAUUACUGGGCGUAAAGGGCGCGUAGGCGGCGAUGUAAGUCAAAUGUGAAAGUCCUCGGCUUAACCGGGGAAGUGCAUCUGAGACUGCAGUGCUUGAGUAUGGGAGAGGAAAGUGGAAUUCCCGGUGUAGAGGUGAAAUUCGUAGAGAUCGGGAGGAAUACCGGUGGCGAAGGCGAAUUUCUGGACCAAUACUGACGCUGAGGCGCGAAAGCGUGGGGAGCAAACAGGAUUAGAAACCCUAGUAGUCC
Molecule: ribosomal RNA, 274 nt
Filed under: uncultured bacterium
Lineage: Bacteria
Description: partial 16S ribosomal RNA
Rfam family: Bacterial small subunit ribosomal RNA
Source: RNAcentral